RNAcentral lists this non-coding RNA (935 nucleotides) under Niceforonia dolops. RNAcentral's name for it is "Hypodactylus dolops 12S ribosomal RNA". It matches the Rfam family "Bacterial small subunit ribosomal RNA". Lineage: Eukaryota; Metazoa; Chordata; Amphibia; Anura; Strabomantidae. The record is from RNAcentral.
CACAAAGGUUUGGUCCUGACCUUAAAAUCAGUUUUUACUUAAUUUACACAUGCAAGUUUCCGCAUUCCAGUGAGAACGCCCUUACACCCCUCCAAGGGGAGAGGAGCCGGUAUCAGGCACAACCAUUGCCCACGACACCUAGCUUAUGCCACACCCUCAAGGGUAUUCAGCAGUGAUUAACAUUGAAUAUAAGCGCAAGCUUGAUUCAGUCAAAGUAAACAGAGCCGGCAAAUCUGGUGCCAGCCGCCGCGGUUACACCACGAGACUCAAAUUGAUUACAUCCGGCGUAAAACGUGAUUAAAGCUAUUAAAAAAUUAGAGUCGAACUCAAACUAAGCCGUUAAACGCUUGCUAAUAAAGAAGAUCAAACAUCGAAAGUUACUCUAAUUAUUUCAACUUGAAUCCACGAUAGCUAGGGCACAAACUGGGAUUAGAUACCCCACUAUGCCUAGUCAUAAACUUUAACUUACACUUUUUUGCCAGGAGAUUACGAGCAAUGCUUAAAACCCAAAGGACCUGACGGUAUCCCACAUCCACCUAGAGGAGCCUGUCCUAUAAUCGACACCCCCCGCUAAACCUCACCACUUAUAGCUUAUCAGCCUGUAUACUUCCGUCGUCAGCCUACCCCAUGAGUGAUACUCAGUUGGCAGGAUGUCCACCCCUCAAUACGUCAGGUCAAGGUGCAGCAAAUAAAGUGGGAAGAGAUGGGCUACACUUUCUAACUUUAGAAAAAACGAAAGACUAAGUGAAAUCAAGUCAGAAGGCGGAUUUAGCAGUAAGGUAGAACUAGAGAGUCAACCUUAAUAACGGCACUGGGAUAUGUACAUACCGCCCGUCACCCUCUUUAAGGCCUCAAAUUAAGUACUUAACAACUUUUAGCCAUAUAAAAGAGGCAAGUCGUAACAUGGUAAGCGUACCGGAAGGUGUGCUUGGAUU